RNAcentral lists this ribosomal RNA (253 nucleotides) under uncultured bacterium. RNAcentral's name for it is "partial 16S ribosomal RNA". It matches the Rfam family "Bacterial small subunit ribosomal RNA", at positions 524 to 776 of the family's 1533-position model. The record is from RNAcentral.
UACGGGGGGGGCAAGCGUUGUUCGGAAUUACUGGGCGUAAAGGGCUCGUAGGCGGCCAACUAAGUCGGACGUGAAAUCCCUCGGCUUAACCGGGGAACUGCGUCCGAUACUGGAUGGCUUGAGUUUGGGAGAGGGAUGCGGAAUUCCAGGUGUAGCGGUGAAAUGCGUAGAUAUCUGGAGGAACACCGGUGGCGAAGGCGGUUCUCUGGGCAUGUCCUGACGCUGAGGAGCGAAAGCAUGGGGAGCGAACAGG